CCUACGGGUGGCAGCAGUGGGGAAUAUUGCACAAUGGGCGAAAGCCUGAUGCAGCAACGCCGCGUGAGCGAUGAAGGCCUUCGGGUCGUAAAGCUCUGUCCUCAAGGAAGAUAAUGACGGUACCUGAGGAGGAAGCCCCGGCUAACUACGUGCCAGCAGCCGCGGUAAAACGUAGGGGGCUAGCGUUAUCCGGAAUUACUGGGCGUAAAGGGUGUGUAGGGGGUUUCUUAGGUCAGAGGUGAAAGGCUACGGCUAAACCGUAGUAAGCCUUUGAAACUGGGGAACUUGAGUGCAGGAGAGGUGGGUGGAAUUUCUGGUGUAGCGGUGAAAUGCGUAGAUAUUA
RNAcentral lists this ribosomal RNA (343 nucleotides) under uncultured bacterium. RNAcentral's name for it is "partial 16S ribosomal RNA". It matches the Rfam family "Bacterial small subunit ribosomal RNA", at positions 338 to 699 of the family's 1533-position model. The record is from RNAcentral.